AGCCGGUUUAUCUUUUUAUGUUGUACAGUUUGUUAGUUUACCGUAAAUAUGUCUUGAUUUGUACUCAAGAGUGGAGCAAGGCCCUAUGGAACAGAGAUUGACGCAUCGUGAGCGAAGAACAGACGCGAUGGAUGGUUAGGCUGCUUGACUCUCGGCUGUACGACUCUCGGCAUGUUAGGACUGGCAAAGUUCCGAAUUUGUCGCGGUGUGGUGUACGCUUCUGUGCUCGUCAAGUGCCGUCAGAGCGCGGGGAUGUUUGAACGGAAUGUGUCCCUUCGUCUACAAAACUCUGCACGCUGCGGCAUCGAAGUCCUGUGUACGGGUGCACGUAUGCGCUUGGAUACGGGAUAGCCUGCCCUCAACGGAUGUUCAACAGUGUACGCACGCUGCGCGUACGCGUACGUAUGAGACUAGUUGCUGGUGUCCUGCUGGAGCUGAGAAGACAUCUGCUGCCUGCCAUGAGACCAUGUCUCUCAAGUUACCGCAAUAUUGUUGCCUUCAAACCUGUCGAGACAAGGUUUCUUUACAUGGCCAUGGCGCUCAAGGAUGAAACCGAGACUGUAGACUGCCAACGUUCAUUCCUGUUCCGGCAAAGACGGGCCAGCAGUAACCAGCAGGAUUUUACAAAGUGAACUCAUCACAGCUUGAGCCACUCCAUGCCACAAGCAGUUGCUCCUCGAGCCACCGUGCAAAGGUUCCUUGGGGCACAAGUCCAACUCAGCGCCACAACCUUUCUUCUGCAGUUUUUCUACCUACUUAGCUAACCAGCAGCAAGUUUAUCCUUGCAAGGCAUGUGGGAACAGCUUUCACCAGGAAACAGUGCAAGACGAGUGGUCGAAGAAAAUAAAAUUGCUUCUGUGAUCUAAAGUACUUGACGAAUAAAAUUUUGCACUUAUUUGUAUAUAUGUCGUGCAAUUCAUUCAUAUCACAAAAAGCAAAGUGUUUGAUCUUUUGAGCUAUUUCAAUGUGUUGGCCAGACAGUUUUCUCCAUAGCGACCUGCUGCUUCUGCAAUGAGCUGCAUUCAUGACAUUUGCAUUAAAGGAUAUGUACUAUCGGGGACAAAAGUGCCCAGGACGUGCGAGUGUCGACCAAAUUGCAUCUCUGCACUAUCAGCCGCUAUCGU
This is a long non-coding RNA of Dermacentor silvarum, 1124 nucleotides long. RefSeq lists it as uncharacterized. The record is from RefSeq and is a predicted model, not a curated record. Lineage: Eukaryota; Metazoa; Arthropoda; Arachnida; Ixodida; Ixodidae. The transcript has 4 exons.